UGAAUAUAUUUCUCAUAUUCUCAAAGGUCUC
Molecule: non-coding RNA, 31 nt
Filed under: Mus musculus (house mouse)
Lineage: Eukaryota; Metazoa; Chordata; Mammalia; Rodentia; Muridae
Source: RNAcentral